RNAcentral lists this ribosomal RNA (863 nucleotides) under uncultured Acidobacteriota bacterium. RNAcentral describes it as "bacterial SSU rRNA". It matches the Rfam family "Bacterial small subunit ribosomal RNA", at positions 58 to 922 of the family's 1533-position model. The record is from RNAcentral. Lineage: Bacteria; Pseudomonadati; Acidobacteriota.
CAAGUCGAGUGCGCGUACCGUAGCAAUACGGUAUGGCGCACGGCGCACGGGUGCGUAACACGUGGGCAAUCUGCCCUUCGAUGGGGAAUAACUUCGGGAAACCGAAGCUAAUUCCGCAUAACAUUCCUUGGAUUUCGGUUCGAGGACUCAAAGCCGUAAGGCGUCGAAGGAGGAGCCCGCGCCCGAUUAGCUAGUUGGUGAGGUAAUGGCUCACCAAGGCAAUGAUCGGUAGCUGGUCUGAGAGGAUGGCCAGCCACACUGGAACUGAGACACGGUCCAGACUCCUACGGGAGGCAGCAGUGGGGAAUCUUGCGCAAUGGGCGAAAGCCUGACGCAGCGACGCCGCGUGGGGGAUGAAGCAUCUCGGUGUGUAAACCCCUUUCGACUGGGACGAAUGCCUCGCAAGAGGAGUGACGGUACCAGUAGAAGAAGCCCCGGCUAACUACGUGCCAGCAGCCGCGGUAAGACGUAGGGGGCCAGCGUUGUUCGGAAUUACUGGGUGUAAAGGGUUCGUAGGCGGUGCGGCAAGUUGGGAGUGAAAUCUCUAGGCUUAACCCAGAGGCUGCUUCCAAAACUGCUGUGCUUGAGUGUGGGAGAGGCGCGUGGAAUUGCAGGUGUAGCGGUGAAAUGCGUAGAUAUCUGCAGGAACACCCGUGGCGAAAGCGGCGCGCUGGACCACAACUGACGCUGAGGAACGAAAGCUAGGGGAGCAAACAGGAUUAGAUACCCUGGUAGUCCUAGCCCUAAACGAUCAGGACUUGGGGUGCCGCCCGUUCGGGCGUCGUCCCGGAGCUAACGCGUUAAGUCCUGCACCUGGGGAGUACGGUCGCAAGACUGAAACUCAAAGGAAUUGACGGGGGCCC